UACGAAGGGGGCUAGCGUUGCUCGGAAUCACUGGGCGUAAAGGGUGCGUAGGCGGGUCUUUAAGUCAGGGGUGAAAUCCUGGAGCUCAACUCCAGAACUGCCUUUGAUACUGAAGAUCUUGAGUUCGGGAGAGGUGAGUGGAACUGCGAGUGUAGAGGUGAAAUUCGUAGAUAUUCGCAAGAACACCAGUGGCGAAGGCGGCCCCCUGGGCAGUAACUGACGCUGAGGAGCGAAAGCGUGGGGAGCGAACAGG
This 253-nucleotide ribosomal RNA is filed under the name uncultured bacterium. RNAcentral describes it as "partial 16S ribosomal RNA". It matches the Rfam family "Bacterial small subunit ribosomal RNA", at positions 524 to 776 of the family's 1533-position model. The record is from RNAcentral.